Long non-coding RNA from Ipomoea nil (Japanese morning glory), 677 nucleotides. RefSeq lists it as uncharacterized. The record is from RefSeq and is a predicted model, not a curated record. Lineage: Eukaryota; Viridiplantae; Streptophyta; Magnoliopsida; Solanales; Convolvulaceae. The transcript has 5 exons.
ACAUACAUUGAUUAUUUGAUUCUACUUAUUAAAUAUUAUGAACACAUUCUAACCAUUUUAAUUUUUUUGGGUAUUUUUUUAAGAAUGGAAUAAUCCAAGCUAUGGAGACAUUGAAGAAUGGGUCCCAGAAAAGAACCAAGCAAUCAAAGACCACUAAAAGCAUUAUGGUCAUAUAAGCAAAUAGAAUGAAAUCAUCAAGCUUUGAAGAAAUUGAAGAGCAGCUGUCAUAAAAAAACCAAUCAAUCAAAGACCACUAAAAGCAAUAGGGUCAUACAACGAAAUAGAAAACAUUGAUGGAUUCCAGCUUGAACAUCAGUUGUUUGGAUAGAUGCAAACAGAGUAAAGGAAGAUUGUGCAAAUAGAACACAUUGAUGGAUUCCAGCUUGAACAUCAGUUGUUUGGAUAGCUGCAAACAGAGUAAAGGAAGAUUGUGCAAAUAGGAACUUCAAACACACGAAUUGCUCUCACUCGUAUUGCCCUUUGCUGGUGUUCCGGCUUGAUGUUUCUCACGGCAAGGAACAUGGAAGGCAUGUUGAAACAGCAAAGAUUGGUUUCGAAAAGGCUGUAAACUGUGAUAACUUUCUGAAGUGUACUGCCAUGAAGAAGGCCGGUAUUUAUACAUACUGAAGAUUCAAAAAUAAGGAGAUACCGGCAUUCUAAGUUUGGGAAAUCGCACA